GAAUGAUAUUCGGGCUAAGUCCCGAAGGCUUUUAUGCUAGUGACUAUAUCCGGACUAAGAUCCGAAGGCAUUUGUGCGAGUUGCUAUAUCCGGGCUAAGACCCGAAGGCAUUUGUGCUAGCGACUAUAUCCGGGCUAAGUCCCGAAGGCAUUUAUGCUAGUGACCAUAUCUGGGCUAAGACCCAAAGGCCUUGUGCGAGUGGUUAUAUCCGGCUAAAUUCUGAAGGUACUUGGUUUGGGAAUGAGCGAUCUUGCUGUAAU
This 260-nucleotide long non-coding RNA is filed under the name Gossypium barbadense (sea-island cotton). Its description in RNAcentral is "long non-coding RNA (GBAR_LNC000423)". The record is from RNAcentral. Lineage: Eukaryota; Viridiplantae; Streptophyta; Magnoliopsida; Malvales; Malvaceae.